Molecule: long non-coding RNA, 9606 nt
Organism: Homo sapiens (human)
Lineage: Eukaryota; Metazoa; Chordata; Mammalia; Primates; Hominidae
Exons: 3
Source: RefSeq, a predicted model, not a curated record
UGUACAGCAACCAAAACUCUCACACACUGAUAGUGGGGGUGCAAAAUGAUACAUUAUAUAGGAAAAAGAUCUGACAGUUUUUUUUUAUGAAAUUGAAGAUGACUCAGCAAUUGUCAUGUAUUUACUAAACAAAAAUAAAAAUACAUGUUCUGCUCUGAUGUGAACACUAUACAAACAUCACUAUGUACCCCAUAAAUACGUAGAAUUAUUAUGUGUCAAUUAAAAAUGUAAAAAAAAUAAAAAAGCUUAAAAACCAUUCCCCAAGAAACUUGUAUGUGAAUAUUCAUGGUGGAUUUAUUCACAAUAGUGCCAAACAAGAAAUAGUCCCAGGCUGGGGUGGCUCACACCUGUAAUCCCAGCACUUUGGGAGGCCCAGGUGGACGGAUCACUUGAGGUCAGGAGUUCAAGAUCAGCCUCGCCAACAAGGUGAAACCCCGUCUCUACAAAAAUACAAAAAUUGGCCAGGCAUGAUGGCAGAUGCCUGUAAUCCCAGCUACUCAGGUGGCUGAGGUGGGAGAAUUGCUUGAAUUCAGGAGGCAGAGGUUGCAGUGAGCUGAGAUCGCGUCAUUGCACUCCAGCCUGGGCGACAGAGCAAGACUCCAUCUUAAAAAAAAAGAAAAAAAAAAGAAAAAAAAAGAAAUAGCCUCAGGUGUCCAUCAAUAGAGGAAUGGAUAAACAAAAUGGUACAUUUGUAUAACUGAAUACUACUCAGUGUUCUAAACUGAAUUGUAUUGCCUUGAAAGUCAUAUGUUAAAACCCUAACCCCCAAUGCCACUAUAUUUGGAGAUAGGGCCUUUAAAGAGGCAACUAAGGUUAAAUGAGGUGUCAUAAGGGUGGAGCCUCAAUUCAAUGUGACUGGUGUCUUUAUAAGAAGAAGAGACACCAGGGAUAUGCACAGACAGAGAAAAGACCAUGUGAAGACAUAGUGAGAAGGCCAUCUGCAAGUGAAGGGGAGAGGCCUCAGGAGAAACCACACCUGUAGACAUCUUGAUCGCAGACUUCUAGCUUUUAGAACUGUUGUUUCAGCCACCCUGUCUAUGGCAUUUUGUUAUGGCAGCCCUAGCAGACUUAAUGUGCUCAGCGAUAAAAAGAAGUGAAAUACUAUACACUGACAUGGAGGAAUCUAAAUAAUACUGUGUCGAAUGAAAGAAGCCUUAAACAAAACAGCAUGUAACUGUAUGAUUCCAUUUAUAUGCCAUUUUAGAAUAGGCAAAAUUAAUUUUUUAGAAAAAAUAUCGGAACAGUUGUUGCCUCUGAGGCAAGGAAUUUAGCAUCGUGAUUGACCCAGGUGGCAUGAAAGGAUUCUGGGGGUGAUGAUCCUGUUUUUUCAAUCCAGACUGGGCUUUGAAUUACAUAGUUGUAUUUAUUUGUCAAAAUUCAUUGAAUGGUAUAUUUGACAUUUGUACAUUUAUUGUAUAUUAACUUUACCUCAAAAGAAAAUAUACAUACUUUAAGAUAAAUAUUAAACAUUAGUCAGUGAUAUGCAUGCUGAAGUAUCUGGAGUGAGUGUACUGAUUUUGCAAACUACUCUGAAAUGUGUCAAAAGUAAAGUGAUUGAUGAAGAAUGCGCUUGAACAACACUAUGAAAUUUUGGACUUUGAAGACAUGGAAGGUGAGGGCUUGAAGAAAGAAAAAUCUUAUUGGAAACUAAAGGAAAGGGGCUCUUUGUUAUGCAGUGGUAGAAAGUUUAGCAAUACAGUUUUCUGAAAUUAUAUGGAAAAUGUGUCUAUUGGCAAGGGUAAUCUAGCUAAGGAGAUUUUCAAAUAGUGUUGAAGGUGACACCUGAUUUCUUCUUGGGUCUUACAGGAAGGCGUUGAAUUGAGAGAAGGAAGAUUAAAGAUGAAAUCAAGGGUGUGACUUAAAACCAUUCGUGAAGACCUCAGAAGAAACAAAGAUGGUGCCUCAGAAUACGAUUCAGUCACAUAGGAGCGCUUUAAAUAAAUUAAGGGUGUGCUCACAGAUUUUUUUAAACAAGCUGCCUCUAGGAAGCUUAAGGAAUAUUGCCUCAUAUUCUCUCAGCAAGGGCCCAAGGUAGAGAAGAGAUUAGGGGUGUGACUUCUGCCUAAUGGAGUGAACCCCCAGAAGCAUCACAGGUGACACCCACAGUUUUUAAAGGAGGUAUAUAUGCAGAAAUACCACUAGUUUGGGCUGAGAGAGUCAGAGAACAAUGAGAACAGAGGCCUUUGGACACGGAGAAUUCUGUCAAGAAGCAGGCUGCAUUAGCUGUUCAGUUGCAAACCCAUUCUGCUUUUAAUAGAAAAAAAAAAAAAAGAAGAAGGAUAAUUGGAGGACAAAACAAAGCCCCAAGGGCAGAGCCAAGAACCAUGGAGAAUUACUCUUAGGCCUCGAGACUUAAUAAAUAAACUCCUGAUAUUUGCUUGGAUGGCCUUCAGAAUGCUGUGUACCAAUGACUCCAUGUGCCUCCUAUUUGCCUUCUUUUGAAUAGAAAUGUCAAUAAAGGUUAUACUACACUUGUCCCACCACUGUGUGUUGAGCAUGUGGGAGAGGUAACUUGUCUCUUUAGUUUCACAGGUUAAGAAGAAGAAAUGUACUCAAAGAGCUGUACUUAAGGAAUUAAAACUGAGGAGCCCCAACUGCACCUGGACCUGAUUUAGAUGACAAGAUUUUGGAUAUUGAGCUCACACUGCAAUGGGAUGAGACUUUGCAAUCCUUGGAGGGGUGAGUAUAUUCUGCACAUUGAAGGGAUAUAAGUCACUGGGGGGCCAGAGGAAGAGUGUGGUAGCCAGAUUCCAGGAUAGCUCCUCAUGAUCUCGAUCUCCCGGUACUCAUAUUCCUUUGUAAUCUCUUCCCCAUGAAUGUGGACUGGAUUUACUAACUCGCUUAAUAUGGCAGAAGUGACGAGGUGUCAACUCUGAGAAUAAACUAUAAAAAGAUUGUGGUUUCUGUCUUGGGUGCUUUUGCUGGUUCCCUCUUGGAUCACUCGGCCUGGGGAAAGGCAACUGCAACGCUGUGAGGCAACCCUGUGGAGAGGCUCAAAUAGUGAGAGAUUGAGACGUGCCGGCAUCCACACCAGUGAGCUGCAAGGUAAACUCUCCCCAGCUAAGCCUCCAACCCCAGCCCACAACUUGGCUGGUACCUGACAAGAGAAGCAGAGCCAGAGGCACUGAGUUAAGCCAUGUCUGUGAGAUAACAGAAACUGACAUAAUAAAUGUUUUUGUUUUAUUUUAAGCUGCUAACUUUUGGGCAAUUUGUCAAUGAAACAAUAGAUUAAUACACAGAACAGAACUGAGAAACCAUAAUGAAAAGGAAAAAGGUGAAUCAGAGAAUGAAUAGGACACAGCUCUGUUUUCUUUCAACAAUAGAUAAGCAUAAUCUUGGAGAUGAAGAGUGGAAGAAAUAUGAAAUGACCAAUGGUCAAAUAAAGUAGUAGCAAGAAAAUACAACAGUAGAGAAAGGAGAGCAAGAAGGGAAAGGGAGAAACACUCCUGCUGAAGAUUCCUUUAUGAUUAAAGGAGAUAAACAAAGGCCAGCAGAAGAAAAAAGAAGUCCACUGUGGUCUCUGAGCAGGAGAAGAUGGGUCAUGGAACCACUGAAAUGUUACUGACAUCAUGGAAGCAUCAAGGAAAAGUCAAAAAAUCCUUCAUAAGGGUUUAUAUUCUGGGAACCAUAAUUACAAAGUCACUAGGGCUGGCUCUGAAAUGACUGAUGCUGAAGAGGGAAGAGGGUGAUGCAAUCUCUAGGAGUAGGGAAUUCAUCAUUUAUUUUGGAAGUGAUUACUGGGGGAAAAAGAACUAUUGGCAAAUCUUUAUACUCACAUUAUUAAGCAGGCCAAGGAUGAUUAUUUAGAUGUGAAAUGGUUGCUAGAGAUGAGGUAGUUGCAUGGAUUUAAAAACUUUAAAGUUAUAAAUCUGCUGCUUAAAAUACUGAACAAACUAGAGGCAUGUAUUCAGCGACAGAAAUGUGAGGCCCAGCUAUGGCAAAGGAGGGAACAUCAUCUAUCUUGACAGAUGCUCUUGCCUGGUGAUAUUAAAGCCUAAAUGUAUAUUACAGCUGACAGCAUCAUGCCAAGUAGUUCCUGUACAAGCAUAAAGAAAAACUGAAGGAAUAGUACAGUCUUAAGCAAAGUUGAAACAAAUCUAAAAUUUAAAUAUAGCAUAACAUUUUUAAAAAAUUGAUCCAGAAAAAAUGCAGUUAUAUUUAGAAAACAUACAUCUGGUCAUAUCUGCCAAAUAAGAGCCCCAAACUGUGUUAGGUACUAUAGUGGACACAAAAGAAACCCUGGCCCCAAGGGACUUACGAACCAGCUGGAGACUCAAGUUCUAUGCGUGUAAACAAUUAGAGAAGGACUCCUGAAAGGACAGACAGUAUGCCUGACAAAAAAUAGCAAUGGCAUGUGACCAACAAAACACAUGAGAACACGGUUAAUCCAAUUUUCCUGAGCUGAAAGAGAGAGGACAGGUAAAAAGGAAAGUGAAAGCAACAGUAUCCUUGGAGUCUGGCUCACAGCCAAGCAGAUGGGCCAUGACCCCCAGAACCCAUCUCUCUGAGCCUCUGGUUCUUUGUAAAGUGGGUACCACCUACCUCCUAGGGAUGCCGUGAGGAUUAUGUUACAGUGUGCCUUAUACAGUAACAGUAUUAACUGCUCAAUAAAAGGUCUUUAUUGUUUUACCAAUGAGUCCAGAAAGAGCAAGGAACAAACAAGAAGAAAAUCAAGGGGAAAGCAAGAAAAAAACGAAAGCCAAUGGAGUAUGAAGAAGACUACGUGCAAAUAAAAAGACUGCUGUUCAGAGAGGUAAAGCCAUUUGCCCAAGGUCACACACCUGGGAACUAAAGUCUAUUUGAGUCUGAAGUUAUCCCCAGCAAGUGAUGCCUGCACCCAGAACCAGCCAGGCCUUGACAUCAGAUGCUGGCCCCAGGAGGAAAUGUUGAGAGAUUGUGACAAAGGGAUUACAGGUCAUGAGAAAUUCUUAUUUUGAAUUUUUUAACCUUUCCACAAUAGAAAAAAUAAAUUCUUACCCUAAGAAUCAGGAAAAAUAAAAGUUUUAACAGUUUUCCUAUUUAUAAAGCUCUUCUGAAGAAACACGGUGACCAGAAGGUUCUUAUUUCCCAUAAUGUCGCGCUGCCUUUCAGAUUUUAGUGCUUGCUUCCUUUAAACAAAUUUUUGAUCUAUGAAAGACUUUACUCAUUCCCUUGAGUUUCUCUGUAUAUCUCAAAGUGAGCCUCAAAUGUGAAUAUGUGAACAUGUUCUGUCAGAGUUCAUAUUUAGGUCCAACUUAACCAUUUUGUUAAGCCUGUGCUUUUAAAUGUUUGCAUACUGUGAUGGUCAAUCUUAUGUGUCAACUUGACUGGGCCAUGGGGUGCCCCGAUAUUUGGUCAUACAUUCUGGGUGUUGCUGUGAGGGUAUUUUUAGAGAGAUUAACAUUUAAAUGGAUAGACUGAAUAGAACAGAUUAAUUUCCAUAAUGUGAGUGGGCCUCAUCCAAUUGGUUGAAAUAAAAGCACUGACCUAUCCUUGAGUAAGGGAGAAUUAUUCCUGCCUUUCAACUUGAACUGAAACACCAGCUCUUCCUGGGUCGCAAGCCUAUCAUGUUUAGACUAAAACUGCAUCAUCUUCUCUAGUUCUAAGGCCUUUAGACUAGGACUAGAACUAAACUAUCAGCUCUCCUGGAUCUCCAGUUUGUCAACUUGCCAUGAAGAUCUUAGGGCUGGGCUGGCUAGCCUCCAUAAUCAUGUGAGCCAAUUCCUUAGAGUAAAUCUCGUUCCUUAUAUAAUCCUGUUGGUUCUGUUUCUCUGGAGAACCCUGACUAAUAUGUAUACUUUUUUUUUUUUGAGACGGAAUCUCUCUCUGUCGCCCAGGCUGGAGUGCAAUGGUGUGAUCUCAGCUCACUGCAACCUCCGCCUCCCGGAUUCAAGCGAUUCUCCUGCCUCAGCCUCCCGAGUAGCUGGGAUCACAGGCACCCACCACCAUGCCUGGCGCCUGGCUAAUUUUUGUGUUUUUAGUAGAGGCAGGGAUUCGCCAUGUUAGCCAGGCUGGUUUUGAACUCCUGACCUCAGGUGAUCCGCCUGCCUCGGCCUCUCAAAGUGCUGGGAUUACAGGCAUGAGCCACCAUACCCAGCCUAAUAUGUAUACUCUUAAGUGUGUAGCAUGAGAAAAAAAGCCUACCCAAAAGGGUAGUGAAAAAUAGCAGGCAGAUUAACAGGGCCUUCAAAAAUGAACAAUUAAAUUGUCAUUAAAAGUAUUUAUAGGAUCUCUGCUUCUAGGAAGAUAGCUGUAGUAGUUACACUGUUCCCUACCCCUCUGGCGAAGUACAAUGAAAAAUCCUAGACAUUACAUAUUUAAAAAAAAUAGAAAGACUCUGAAAGGUGGAGAUAAGAUAGCAGACCAGCUAGAGAUUUUAGGGACCAAGAAUAAUUCAAUAGCAAACUCCCUGGGUUAUCUUUUUGCCUCAUUAUCCCAGACUAGGAGCUGAAGAAGGCAGCUACCUGGAAAUGCCAAUGGAAGCCAACCAAAAAAGCCCCAACAAAAGUCUGCUCUCUUUACCAAAAUGACCACGAAAGAGGAAGCCUAGCAAGACUAAAACCUUUCAGACAAUAACCACUUGACUGUAGCCAAACAGCACAGAAAAAACUAUGACCUCAUCCUCACCACCAAAGACAGAAUGGGGAGCCUAGACUUCCACCCUUGACAGGGUGUAAUGAGGCACCCCAUGAUGGACCCCUGAAGGCUCCAUCUCCUACCAGGGUGAUGUUGGAGACAAACUGGGAGCUGGGAUUUUUAUCCCCAGAGGGUGGUAAUGAGCCCUCAUCCAUCCCCAACUUCACCACCACCACCACCACUGCAGUAUCAAUGGUGACCACAUGAGGAGCCUGGACUUCCAUCCCCUCCUGGCUGUAAUGAAGUAUAUCUUUCCUAUCCCACUGGGAUGGUGUCAGAGGAAGCCUAGUGGACAGUUAUGACUUUCUAUAUCACCCAGCAGUAAUGAGGCCAAAUCCACACUAAUAGUUUCAGCAACCAUUAAAAAGGCUACAUAGAGAGAUGUACUCAAAAACACUGAGAUAAAUCAAAGUGGGCUUCUACAAUAUGUUCAAGUAACCCAUAGGAAGAUAGGGGACCAACCCCUACUCCUCCCCCGCACAGAGAUGGAAAAAUUAGUGAUCAAACAAAAGAAAAAAACGUAUACACAGAUUUAAACCCCCAACAUAUCAAUGAAUAUAUUAAAUGUAAAUAGCCCAAACAUACCAAUUUAAAGACAGAGAUUGACAGAAUGAAUUUUAAAAUAUGACCGAACUAUAUGCUGUUAUAAGAAACUUACUUCAAAUAUAAUGAUAUAGGCAAACUGAAAGCAAAGGGAUGAAAAAAAGACAUAAUAUGAAAAUAUUGGUCAGUGGAAAGCAAGAGUGGCAAUAUUAAUUUCAGGGAAAGUGGACUUCAGAGCAAAGAAAAUUACCAGAGAAUGAGAGAGACAUUAUAUAAUGAUAAAGGGUAAUCUGUCAAGAAGACAUAGCAAUCCUAAAUGUGUAUGCACCAAACAGCAGGCUCUCCAUGCUUUGUAGAAGUACAAAGCAUGCAAAGUAAAAACUAGUAGAAAUAAAAUGAGAAAUAGAUAAAUCCAUAAUUGACUUGUAAACUUUAACAGUCCUCUCUUAAAAAUUGAGAGAAUGACUAGAUAGAAAAUCAGCAAAGAUAUAGAACUGAGUGGCACCAUCAAGCAAUAGGAUAUAAUCAACAUUUGUAGAAGAAUCCAAUCAACAACGGCAGAAUACACACUCUUUCCAAGUGUCACAGAGGGUCUACCAAGACAGACUAUAUUCUAGGCCAUAAAACAUUAACAAAUUUAAAAAGAAUUGAAAUUGAUAAACAGCAUGUAAAAAAACUUUCAGCAACAUUAUGGCUAAUAAUGAAAGGCCAAAGCUUUGCUCCUGACUGGGAACAAGGCAAGGAUGUCCGCUCUUACCAGUCUUAUUUGACACAGUGCUAGAACUUUUAACCAGUGCAAUAUGACAAGAAAAGGAAAUAAAAGGCAUAUACAUUAGAAAGGAAGAUAGCAAACUGCCUCCAUUUGCAGAUAACAUGAUUGUGUACAUAAAAAAUCCCAAGAAAUCUAAAGGCUACCCCAAGUUCUGUGAAAAUUCUUAUAUUGGCUUCUAUCAAUGGGGGCUCCUUUCUCUUAAUAUUCUCCAACCCAUCUUCAUCUGGGAUCCUUAAGGGAAACUAUGUUUCUCCUUCUUCCUCUUGCCUCUGUACUUCUUUCUACACUGUUGGUAGCCUGUACCUUGUAAAUUGGCACAUAAUUUUACCUUGUCUUACAAUGUGUACUGGUGUUGCAUAAAUGUUAGGUUUUCUCUCCAUCUGAACUGUAAACUCUCUGAGGGUACAUAUGAGUGCCCAAAGUACUUGACCCAGUGUUGACUAAAAGUAAAAAGGACUCCCCAUACCUAUUGCUUUAUUUACGUUUUUAUUAUAAAGUAACAUAUAUUCUCUAUGUAAAGCAUUUAAUCCCUUAUACAAAUUUCCUCAUAUCCUCAUAUCAUAAAAAUCCUUUGAGGUAAAAAGAAUGACCUACAAAUAAAUGUCAGGAUCAGCCCCAUAAAUGUUUAAAAAUCAAUGAAUGAUCUUAAAAAAUAGAAACUCUGUAUUCCUCCAUUCUUCAGAAUCUGCUAGCUGAAGAACACAGUCUAUAUUUAAGCAAUCUAGUUGAAAAUAAAUACAGUAGUCCCUUGGUAUCUGUGGGGGAUUGGUUCCAGGACCUGUUUCACCUACCAAAAUCCACAGAUGCUCAAGUUCCUGAUAUAAAAUGAUGUAAUAUUUGCAUACAACCUAUGUACAUUCUCCUGUAUACUUUAAAUUAUCUCUAGAUUACUUAUAAUACCUGAUACAAUAUAAAUACUAUGUAUAGAGUUCUUACACUGUAUUGUUUAUGGAAUAAUGACAAGAGAAAAAAGUCUGUACAUAGUAAAGACACAUUUUUUUUCAAAUAUUUUUGAUCUGUGGUUGGUGAAAUCUACAUAUGUGGAGCCCAUGGAUAUGGAGGGCUGACUGUAACAUAUUUUUAAAGAUGUGUGGCACUUAUGCAACAAAAACUAUGAGAAAGAUUUAAAAUACCUUGCUUAUAAAAUGCUCUAAAUCUGUUACUUCUUGUUCCAAAAAGUUAUUUUAUGUGACACCUUUUAACAUAUAAAAUGAGAUCAUCUUAUAUCACUGUAAAUUGGAUAAUUUAGUUGUUUCCUUAGCCUGUGAUGUUUUUUGAUUCCAAAAGAAGAAACUGCUUUUCUGAAGUAAGGAUGCUAGUUCUGUGAUUUCCAUUAAGAGAAUAUUGAAAGAAAAGUAUGGGGACCCAAUCUAGCCAGGUUGGCUCCAGUACUCAGGUUCCUCCAGGACUGCUGGGAUUCGAGGAGGCUAAGCUGGGCCUGUGCCACUCAGUCCCAGUGGUUGAUUCAGCCAGUUAAGUGGAGUCACUAAGACUGCACUGCCUCUUCCCCAACUCCUUGAAGAGUCUACUUAAAAAAAAAGACACUGCCAGAUGGGAUUGGUUAAGUUAUUCCAAAAGAGGAGUCAUCAAGUACACUGUCCUUUUUCAACCCCUGGCAACAACAGCAAAUGAAAAUAUAAGGUUGCACAUCUUCUCUUUACCUCAAUCCCUACCUU